Molecule: long non-coding RNA, 1009 nt
Filed under: Chlamydomonas reinhardtii
Lineage: Eukaryota; Viridiplantae; Chlorophyta; Chlorophyceae; Chlamydomonadales; Chlamydomonadaceae
Description: long non-coding RNA (CREI_LNC001050)
Source: RNAcentral
GCGAACUUCACUCUUGCAUACCUCGCAUCAAACCCAUCACUCCACUCCUGUCUUCAAGUCUUCACGACAAUCGCACACACACAAUGCCAAGUCAAGCAGCUACCAUCGUGCCACGUCCAGGCGUGCCCGCUCACAUGGUGAGUGACAACACCCGAGCGCUUAGGGGCGCGAGCUGCAUACGUCGGCAGAAAAGAAUUGGGUUCUGCAACCCCCACAAUACCCUGUCAUCCUCAUUGAACGCACCGCAAGCACAUCCGUAUAUGUGCGUAUGUGCUGGCGCGUGUGCCAAUGUCCUCCGCAUCGCCUCCCACCGCGCAUUGUGUCGCACGGCGGAGAGACCUGCGCCGUCGUGUGCCCCCGUCCAGGCCUACUCGUACACAUCUUAGCGACCAUCCUAUCCCGCGUCUCGCGUCCUAGUCAACGCGUGAUGCAGACCACCAAUUCUGCCCGUGCACCGCACUAUCCGUUUCCCUGCAUCCUGUGCCCAUUCCGCUCAGCGGCACACCAUCUUGAAUCACGACAUAGUACAGACACGCCAGCCUGCGCCAACCUAUGGUAUGGAGUCAUCCCCCAACACACCUCGUCAUUUCCACGUCCAGCCAGAUGCUCCUGUCCUUGCAUCGCGGGGCUACUCCCAUCUAGACCUGUAAGCGCUGCGACAGUACUGAAUGCCUACCCAUCUACCCGUAAAAUGCAUGGUCCAGGGUCCAUGGUUCGUUCGCCGGGUGAAUCUCCGGACGGACUUUAUGUUCGCAUUUCGCAUGACCACACUGCACUAAGCGCGUCUGGCCCAGCCGCCGAGCUCGCUCCUGAGGACUGUCAACGCCACCCGUCCAGACAUCUUCAAAAAAAAUCUGAAGGGGGGUUAACAGAGCCCCACGACGCACAUCACCGAUAAACAAAACACACACUCGCGCAUGGCACGCACGAGCCUUGCCACGCUCUCACCAAGUAUCCCAUCCCAUUUCCACUGACUCCGACUCGAGUUGCACCAACCACCAACAGGACA